Molecule: ribosomal RNA, 232 nt
Filed under: uncultured bacterium
Lineage: Bacteria
Description: partial 16S ribosomal RNA
Rfam family: Bacterial small subunit ribosomal RNA
Source: RNAcentral
GACAGAGGGUGCAAACGUUGUUCGGAAUUACUGGGCGUAAAGCGCGUUCAGGCGGUUUGGCAAGUCGGGCAUGAAAUCUCUCGGCUCAACCGGGAGAGGUUGUCCGGAUACUGCUGGACUGGAGGGCAGUAGAGGGUGGUGGGAAUUCCGGGUGUAGUGGUGAAAUGCGUAGAGAUCCGGAGGAACACCAGUGGCGGAAGGCGGGAUCGCUGGGCCGAUAUUGACGCUGAGG